RNAcentral lists this ribosomal RNA (370 nucleotides) under uncultured bacterium. Its description in RNAcentral is "bacterial SSU rRNA". It matches the Rfam family "Bacterial small subunit ribosomal RNA", at positions 527 to 897 of the family's 1533-position model. The record is from RNAcentral.
GUAGGGGGCCAGCGUUGCUCGGAAUUACUGGGCGUAAAGGGUUCGUAGGCGGUGCGGUAAGUCGAGAGUAAAAUCUCCAGGCUCAACUUGGAGGCGCCUCCCGAAACUGCCGUGCUCGAGUGCUGGAGAGGCGAGUGGAAUUGCAGGUGUAGCGGUGAAAUGCGUAGAUAUCUGCAGGAACACCAGUGGCGAAGGCGGCUCGCUGGACAGCAACUGACGCUGAGGAACGAAAGCUAGGGGAGCAAACAGGAUUAGAUACCCUGGUAGUCCUAGCCCUAAACGAUCAGGUCUUGAGGUGAGCCCCGUUCGGGGUUUGUCUCGUAGCCAACGCGAUAAGACCUGCGCCUGGGGAGUACGGUCGCAAGACUUG